This 500-nucleotide long non-coding RNA is filed under the name Mustela putorius furo (domestic ferret). Its description in RNAcentral is "lncRNA (ENSMPUG00000028648.1)". The record is from RNAcentral. Lineage: Eukaryota; Metazoa; Chordata; Mammalia; Carnivora; Mustelidae.
AUGCGUCCUGACAGCCCCAAGGAUGGGCCCCUGGCAGCCCCGCCGGCCUGGCCCGAGCCCCAGGCUGGCCCUCGUGGGCACCCGCGUUCCAGAACGUCCUGUGAGUGCUCCCCACGGCCCAGCCUCUUCAUGUUCUUCCAGCGCCUGAGGCUCGGACACACCUGGGAGCAGCGUGGCCCAUUCACUAAGCGCUUUGGCGAAGGUCACCAUCAGCCAGGGACAGAAUCUGUGCGGUACCUCUCAUGGGCUUCCCAAGUGCUGCUUUGGUGCCAGCUUCCCUGUUGAGUGCGGAGGACCCCGACAGAAAUAACGGCAAUGGCCUCUUCGACUCACGUGCUGCAGGCCUUGCAGCCAUGGAGAGGAGCACCUCCUCAUCACCUCUGGCCCUCACCACUGCCUGGGAUCUCCUCACUCUACCUGACACAGCCUGGUGAGGCCUGGGAAGCCUGGGCUCAAACAGCUGUUGGGGCCCCCACCUGGGAUUCGAACCCGGGUCUAUG